Molecule: long non-coding RNA, 249 nt
Filed under: Ananas comosus (pineapple)
Lineage: Eukaryota; Viridiplantae; Streptophyta; Magnoliopsida; Poales; Bromeliaceae
Description: long non-coding RNA (ACOM_LNC024095)
Source: RNAcentral
UUUUACCUCAUAGCGGAAGGUCAGGUUGGAUCGAGUGAUGUUCGAAACAGCAGGAGGUCGGGUUGGGCCGAAUUAUGUUUGAAGUGGCGCAAGGUUGAUUAGUGCUAAGUCACAAUCGAGACCUGUGAGUACUGUAUCUUUACGCUUUAAAUAAAUUAGUUGCAUCUUUCUAAUCGUUCGAAUUUUUGGGAUUAAUGGUUAGUACCAACGAUCCGACGCAUAGAUACAUAGAAACACCGGAUUCAAUGG